CAGUCGCCGCGGUAAUACGUAGGUGGCAAGCGUUGUCCGGAAUUAUUGGGCGUAAAGGGCUCGCAGGCGGUUUCUUAAGUCUGAUGUGAAAUCUAUGGGCUCAACCCAUAGUCUGCAUCGGAAACUGUCAGGCUUGAGGAUGGGAGAGGUGAGUGGAAUUUCCGGUGUAGCGGUGAAAUGCGUAGAUAUCGGAAGGAACACCCGUGGCGAAAGCGGCUCACUGGACCAUUUCUGACGCUGAUGCACGAAAGCUAGGGGAGCAAACAGGAUUAGAUACCCGGGUAGUCCCUGUCUCUUAUAC
RNAcentral lists this ribosomal RNA (301 nucleotides) under uncultured bacterium. RNAcentral's name for it is "partial 16S ribosomal RNA". It matches the Rfam family "Bacterial small subunit ribosomal RNA", at positions 509 to 807 of the family's 1533-position model. The record is from RNAcentral.